RNAcentral lists this ribosomal RNA (434 nucleotides) under uncultured Pseudobutyrivibrio sp. RNAcentral's name for it is "partial 16S ribosomal RNA". It matches the Rfam family "Bacterial small subunit ribosomal RNA", at positions 341 to 792 of the family's 1533-position model. Lineage: Bacteria; Bacillati; Bacillota; Clostridia; Lachnospirales; Lachnospiraceae. The record is from RNAcentral.
ACGGGAGGCAGCAGUGGGGAAUAUUGCACAGUGGGCGAAAGCCUGAUGCAGCGACGCCGCGUGAGCGAAGAAGUAUUUCGGUAUGUAAAGCUCUAUCAGCAGGGAAGAUAAUGACGGUACCUGACUAAGAAGCACCGGCUAAAUACGUGCCAGCAGCCGCGGUAAUACGUAUGGUGCAAGCGUUAUCCGGAUUUACUGGGUGUAAAGGGAGCGUAGGCGGUUUUACAAGUCUGAUGUGAAAGCCCGGAGCUCAACUCCGGUAUUGCAUUGGAAACUGUAGAACUAGAGUGUCGGAGGGGUAAGUGGAAUUCCUAGUGUAGCGGUGAAAUGCGUAGAUAUUAGGAGGAACACCAGUGGCGAAGGCGGCUUACUGGACGAUUACUGACGCUGAGGCUCGAAAGCGUGGGGAGCAAACAGGAUUAGAUACCCUGGUA